RNAcentral lists this ribosomal RNA (643 nucleotides) under Salmonella enterica. RNAcentral describes it as "partial 23S ribosomal RNA". It matches the Rfam family "Bacterial large subunit ribosomal RNA", at positions 2161 to 2803 of the family's 2925-position model. Lineage: Bacteria; Pseudomonadati; Pseudomonadota; Gammaproteobacteria; Enterobacterales; Enterobacteriaceae. RNAcentral also lists the same sequence under 2 other names. The record is from RNAcentral.
AGUGUGGACGCCAGUCUGCAUGGAGCCGUCCUUGAAAUACCACCCUUUAAUGGCUGGUGUUCUAACGUAGACCCGUGAACCGGGUUGCGGACAGUGUCUGGUGGGUAGUUUGACUGGGGCGGUCUCCUCCUAAAGCGUAACGGAGGAGCACGAAGGUUGGCUAAUCCUGGUCGGACAUCAGGAGGUUAGUGCAAUGGCAUAAGCCAGCUUGACUGCGAGCGUGACGGCGCGAGCAGGUGCGAAAGCAGGUCAUAGUGAUCCGGUGGUUCUGAAUGGAAGGGCCAUCGCUCAACGGAUAAAAGGUACUCCGGGGAUAACAGGCUGAUACCGCCCAAGAGUUCAUAUCGACGGCGGUGUUUGGCACCUCGAUGUCGGCUCAUCACAUCCUGGGGCUGAAGUAGGUCCCAAGGGUAUGGCUGUUCGCCAUUUAAAGUGGUACGCGAGCUGGGUUUAGAACGUCGUGAGACAGUUCGGUCCCUAUCUGCCGUGGGCGCUGGAGAACUGAGGGGGGCUGCUCCUAGUACGAGAGGACCGGAGUGGACGCAUCACUGGUGUUCGGGUUGUCAUGCCAAUGGCACUGCCCGGUAGCUAAAUGCGGAAGAGAUAAGUGCUGAAAGCAUCUAAGCACGAAACUUGCCCCGAG